RNAcentral lists this ribosomal RNA (301 nucleotides) under uncultured bacterium. RNAcentral describes it as "partial 16S ribosomal RNA". It matches the Rfam family "Bacterial small subunit ribosomal RNA", at positions 509 to 808 of the family's 1533-position model. The record is from RNAcentral.
CAGUCGCCGCGGUAAUACGUAGGGUGCGAGCGUUAAUCGGAAUUACUGGGCGUAAAGCGUGCGCAGGCGGUUUUGUAAGACAGGCGUGAAAUCCCCGGGCUCAACCUGGGAAUGGCGCUUGUGACUGCAAAGCUAGAGUGCGGCAGAGGGGGAUGGAAUUCCGCGUGUAGCAGUGAAAUGCGUAGAUAUGCGGAGGAACACCGAUGGCGAAGGCAAUCCCCUGGGCCUGCACUGACGCUCAUGCACGAAAGCGUGGGGAGCAAACAGGAUUAGUACCCCAGUAGUCCCUGUCUCUUAUACA